RNAcentral lists this ribosomal RNA (616 nucleotides) under uncultured bacterium. RNAcentral's name for it is "bacterial SSU rRNA". It matches the Rfam family "Bacterial small subunit ribosomal RNA", at positions 338 to 950 of the family's 1533-position model. The record is from RNAcentral.
CCUACGGGAGGCAGCAGUAAGGAAUAUUGGACAAUGCUCGCAAGAGUGAUCCAGCCAUGCCGCGUGCAGGAAGAAUGCCCUAUGGGUAGUAAACUGCUUUUGAACUAGAGAAAACCCCAGUACGUGUACUGGGCUGAUAGUAUAGUUAGAAUAAGCAUCGGCUAACUUCGUGCCAGCAGCCGCGGUAAGACGAAGGAUGCAAGCGUUAUCCGGAUUCAUUGGGUUUAAAGGGAGCGUAGGUGGACUGAUAAGUCAGUGGUGAAAUCUCCGAGCUUAACUCGGAAAUUGCCAUUGAUACUGUUGGUCUUGAGUACAGUUGCUGUGGGCGGAAUAUGACAUGUAGUGGUGAAAUACAUAGAGAUGUCAUAGAACACCGAUUGCGAAGGCAGCUCACAAAGCUGUAACUGACACUGAGGCUCGAAAGUGCGGGGAUCAAACAGGAUUAGAUACCCUGGUAGUCCGCACCGUAAACGAUGAUUACUCGCUGCUAGGGGGCGAACCGUUUAGUGGCUUAGCGAAAGCGAAUAAGUAAUUCCACCUGGGGAGUUACGCCGGCAACGGUUGAAACUUCAAAGGAAUUGACGGCNGAGAGNGCGAGGACGACACGAGGGAGAGG